UCUCGCUCUGGGAUGUAAUGUCAGAACGCGUGUGUGGAAUGUACGCUCGGAGCGGCUGAUACUAAAUACACAACAUGCCAAGAACGUGCGCUGAAAUGUAUGUUUGGCAUGUUAACUUUGAUAUUUCAAGUUUUGGAGUGGCGCGUGAUACUUCCACAGAGUCGUAAAGUUUUGUUCUGCGAGCCAGACUCCAAAUCUGCACUCCAACAAAAAGACGACCACAAGACUGGACAUGUGGUUCCAACGUUGGUGCCAAGAGUACGUUCCAAACCUCUUUCGAGGUUAAGCAUUUACACAAACAAGUUUGGCAUGUGCACCUGGAGUGUACGUGCCAAAACCGUCGG
Molecule: long non-coding RNA, 344 nt
Filed under: Androctonus crassicauda
Lineage: Eukaryota; Metazoa; Arthropoda; Arachnida; Scorpiones; Buthidae
Source: RNAcentral